AAAGAUCAGGAAUUCAAGGGGCGUAGCAUAGUAAAAGCAAUAUACAGGAAACCAGUAGCCACCAUCAAGGUAAAUGGAGAGAAACUUGAAACUAAAUUCAAGGACUAGACAAGGCUGCCCACUUUCUCCCUACCUAUUCAUUAUAGUAGUUGAAGUCCUAGCCAGAAUAAUUAGAAAACUAAAAGGUCAAAGGGAUACAAAUUGGAAGAGAAGCCAAAAUAUUGCUGUUUGCAGAUGAUAUGAUAAUAUACUUAAGUGACCUCAAAAAUUCCACCAGAGAACUCCUACAACUGAUAAAUAACUUUAGCAAAGUGGCUAGAUAUAAAAUUAACUCAAACAAAUCAGUAGCCUUCCUCCACUCAAAAGAUAAACAGACUGAGAAAGAAAUUAGAGAAAUGACACCCUUCACUUUAGUUACAAAUACUAUACAAUACCAUGGUGUGACUCUAACCAAGCAAGUGAAAGAUCUGUAUGACAAGAACUUCAAGUCUCUGAAGAAAGAAAUUGAAGAAGCUCUCAAAAAAUAGAAAGACCUCCCAUGCUCAUGGAUUGGCAGGAUUAAUAAUAGUAAAAAUGGCCAUUUUACCAAAAGCAAUCACCAUCAAAAUUCCAACUCAAUUCUUCACAGAGUUAGAAAGAACCAUUUGCAAAUUCAUUUGGAAUAACCAAAAAAAAAAAAAAAAAA
RNAcentral lists this long non-coding RNA (685 nucleotides) under Rattus norvegicus (Norway rat). RNAcentral describes it as "long non-coding RNA NONRATT017739". The record is from RNAcentral. Lineage: Eukaryota; Metazoa; Chordata; Mammalia; Rodentia; Muridae.